GACGGUGGAGGCAUGUGGUUUAAUUUCGAAGCAACGCGAAGAACCUUACCAGGCCUUGACAUGCAGAGAACUUUCCAGAGAUGGAUUGGUGCCUUCGGGAACUCUGACACAGGUGCUGCAUGGCUGCCGUCAGCUCGUGUCGUGAGAUGUUGGGUUAAGUCCGUAACGAGCGCAACCCUUGUCCUUAGUUACCAGCACGUUAUGGUGGGCACUCUAAGGAGACUGCCGGUGACAAACCGGAGGAAGGUGGGGAUGACGUCAAGUCAUCAUGGCCCUUACGGCCUGGGCUACACACGUGCUACAAUGGUCGGUACAAAGGGUUGCCAAGCCGCGAGGUGGAGCUAAUCCCAUAAAACCGAUCGUAGUCCGGAUCGCAGUCUGCAACUCGACUGCGUGAAGUCGGAAUCGCUAGUAAUCGUGAAUCAGAAUGUCACGGUGAAUACGUUCCCGGGCCUU
This 456-nucleotide ribosomal RNA is filed under the name uncultured Pseudomonas sp. RNAcentral's name for it is "bacterial SSU rRNA". It matches the Rfam family "Bacterial small subunit ribosomal RNA", at positions 928 to 1382 of the family's 1533-position model. The record is from RNAcentral. Lineage: Bacteria; Pseudomonadati; Pseudomonadota; Gammaproteobacteria; Pseudomonadales; Pseudomonadaceae.